Molecule: ribosomal RNA, 2248 nt
Filed under: Proteus mirabilis
Lineage: Bacteria; Pseudomonadati; Pseudomonadota; Gammaproteobacteria; Enterobacterales; Morganellaceae
Description: partial 23S ribosomal RNA
Rfam family: Bacterial large subunit ribosomal RNA
Source: RNAcentral
AGUUGCAGGGUAUAGACCCGAAACCCGGUGAUCUAUCCAUGGGCAGGUUGAAGGUUGGGUAACACUAACUGGAGGACCGAACCGACUAAUGUUGAAAAAUUAGCGGAUGACUUGUGGAUGGGGGUGAAAGGCCAAUCAAACCGGGAGAUAGCUGGUUCUCCCCGAAAGCUAUUUAGGUAGCGCCUCGUGAACUCAUCUUCGGGGGUAGAGCACUGUUUCGACUAGGGGGUCAUCCCGACUUACCAACUCGAUGCAAACUGCGAAUACCGAAGAAUGUUAUCACGGGAGACACACGGCGGGUGCUAACGUCCGUCGUGAAGAGGGAAACAACCCAGACCGCCAGCUAAGGUCCCAAAGUCAUGGUUAAGUGGGAAACGAAGUGGGAAGGCUCAGACAGCCAGGAUGUUGGCUUAGAAGCAGCCAUCAUUUAAAGAAAGCGUAAUAGCUCACUGGUCGAGUCGGCCCGCGCGGAAGAUGUAACGGGGCUAAACCAUGCACCGAAGCUGCGGCAGCGACACAAUGUGUUGUUGGGUAGGGGAGCGUUCUGUAAGCCUGCGAAGGUGUACUGUGAGGUAUGCUGGAGGUAUCAGAAGUGCGAAUGCUGACAUAAGUAACGAUAAUGCGGGUGAAAAACCCGCACGCCGGAAGACCAAGGGUUCCUGUCCAACGUUAAUCGGGGCAGGGUGAGUCGACCCCUAAGGCGAGGCUGAAAAGCGUAGUCGAUGGGAAACGGGUUAAUAUUCCCGUACUGGUGGUAACUGCGAUGGGGGAACGGAGAAGGCUAGGUUGUCCGGGCGACGGUCGUCCCGGUUCAAGCAGGUAGGCAGAGUGAUUAGGCAAAUCCGGUCACUUAAUGCUGAGAUGUGAUGACGAACCACCAAGGUGGUGAAGCAAUUGAUGCCCCGCUUCCAGGAAAAGCCUCUAAGCUUCAGGUUACCAACAAUCGUACCCCAAACCGACACAGGUGGUCAGGUAGAGAAUACUCAGGCGCUUGAGAGAACUCGGGUGAAGGAACUAGGCAAAAUGGUGCCGUAACUUCGGGAGAAGGCACGCUGGCGGUAGGUAAAGUCCCUCGCGGACAGAGCUGAAGCCAGUCGAAGAUACCAGCUGGCUGCAACUGUUUAUUAAAAACACAGCACUGUGCAAACACGAAAGUGGACGUAUACGGUGUGACGCCUGCCCGGUGCUGGAAGGUUAAUUGAUGGGGUUAGCGCAAGCGAAGCUCCUGAUCGAAGCCCCAGUAAACGGCGGCCGUAACUAUAACGGUCCUAAGGUAGCGAAAUUCCUUGUCGGGUAAGUUCCGACCUGCACGAAUGGCGUAAUGAUGGCCAGGCUGUCUCCACCCGAGACUCAGUGAAAUUGAACUCGCUGUGAAGAUGCAGUGUACCCGCGGCAAGACGGAAAGACCCCGUGAACCUUUACUAUAGCUUGACACUGAACAUUGAGCCUUGAUGUGUAGGAUAGGUGGGAGGCUUUGAAGUGUGGACGCCAGUCUGCAUGGAGCCAACCUUGAAAUACCACCCUUUAACGUUUGAUGUUCUAACCUAGGCCCGUGAUCCGGGUCGGGGACCGUGUCUGGUGGGUAGUUUGACUGGGGCGGUCUCCUCCUAAAGAGUAACGGAGGAGCACGAAGGUUGGCUAAGCAUGGUCGGACAUCAUGCGGUUAGUGCAAAGGCAUAAGCCAGCUUGACUGCGAGAGUGACGGCUCGAGCAGGUACGAAAGUAGGUCUUAGUGAUCCGGUGGUUCUGAAUGGAAGGGCCAUCGCUCAACGGAUAAAAGGUACUCCGGGGAUAACAGGCUGAUACCGCCCAAGAGUUCAUAUCGACGGCGGUGUUUGGCACCUCGAUGUCGGCUCAUCACAUCCUGGGGCUGAAGUAGGUCCCAAGGGUAUGGCUGUUCGCCAUUUAAAGUGGUACGCGAGCUGGGUUUAGAACGUCGUGAGACAGUUCGGUCCCUAUCUGCCGUGGGCGUUGGAAGAUUGAGAGGGGUUGCUCCUAGUACGAGAGGACCGGAGUGAACGCACCACUGGUGUUCGGGUUGUCAUGCCAAUGGCAUUGCCCGGUAGCUAAGUGCGGAAGAGAUAACCGCUGAAAGCAUCUAAGCGGGAAACUUGCCUCGAGAUGAGUCUUCCCUGUCGCUUAAAGCGACCUAAAGGAACGUUUAAGACGAAGACGUUGAUAGGCUGGAUGUGUAAGCGUAGCGAUACGUUGAGCUAACCAGUACUAAUGAACCGUGAGGCUUAACCUG